GAUGAACGCUGGCGGUAUGCUUAACACAUGCAAGUCGAACGGUCACUUCGGUGAUAGUGGCGGACGGGUGAGUAACGCGUGAGAAUCUGUCUUCAGGUCGGGGACGACAGUUAGGAAUGACUGCUAAUACCGGAUGUGCCGAAAGGUAAAAGAUUUAUUGCCUGAAAAAGAGCUCGCGUCAGAUUAGCUAGUAGGUGGUGUAAGAGACUACCUAGGCGACGAUCUGUAGCUGGUCUGAGAGGACGAUCAGCCACACUGGAACUGAGACACGGUCCAGACUCCUACGGGAGGCAGCAGUGGGGGAAUUUUCCGCAAUGGGCGAAAGCCUGACGGAGCAAUACCGCGUGAGGGACGAAGGCUUUUGGGUCGUAAACCUCUUUUAUUAGGGAAGAUUUCAGGACGGUACCUAAUGAAUAAGCAUCGGCUAACUCUGUGCCAGCAGCGGCGGUAAU
This 452-nucleotide ribosomal RNA is filed under the name uncultured cyanobacterium. RNAcentral's name for it is "bacterial SSU rRNA". It matches the Rfam family "Bacterial small subunit ribosomal RNA", at positions 28 to 524 of the family's 1533-position model. The record is from RNAcentral. Lineage: Bacteria; Bacillati; Cyanobacteriota.